This 253-nucleotide ribosomal RNA is filed under the name uncultured bacterium. RNAcentral's name for it is "partial 16S ribosomal RNA". It matches the Rfam family "Bacterial small subunit ribosomal RNA", at positions 524 to 776 of the family's 1533-position model. The record is from RNAcentral.
UACGUAGGGCGCAAGCGUUAUCCGGAAUUAUUGGGCGUAAAGAGCUCGUAGGCGGUUUGUCGCGUCGGGAGUGAAAACAUCGGGCUUAACUCGGUGCUUGCUUUCGAUACGGGCAGACUUGAGGCAUGCAGGGGAGAACGGAAUUCCUGGUGUAGCGGUGAAAUGCGCAGAUAUCAGGAAGAACACCCGUGGCGAAAGCGGCUCUCUGGAACGGUACUGACGCUGAGACGCGAAAGCGUGGGGAGCGAACAGG